Molecule: long non-coding RNA, 1227 nt
Filed under: Oryctolagus cuniculus (rabbit)
Lineage: Eukaryota; Metazoa; Chordata; Mammalia; Lagomorpha; Leporidae
Description: lncRNA (ENSOCUG00000036183.1)
Source: RNAcentral
AUGGGCGUUGAGCUGUGCCUGACACCACGUGGGCACACGGGUGCACACACAUGCACAGGCACACAUGCAUGGAUGGGUACCCCCAGAUGGGCACACACAUGCACAAAUACACAUGCAUGCACGUGGGCACACACGCAUGCAUGGGCAUACACAUGCAUGUGCACGGAUACACAUGCAUGGGCACACACAUGCAUGCAGGGCACCCACGUAUGCACAUGCACAAACACACAUGCACACAUGGGCACAGGUAGACAUGGGCACACAUGCACACAUGCAGGCAUGGGUACCCCCAGACACACAUGCACACCCAUGCACAAAUACACAUGCACACACGGGCACACACAUGCAUGCAGGGCACCCACGUAUGCACAUGCAGAAACACACAUGCACACAGGCACAGGUAGACACGCACGCAUGGGCACACAUGCACGCACAUGCACAAAUACACAAGGCACACACGGGCACACACAUGCACACAUGGGCACACACGGGCACACACAUGCACACACGGGCACACGCACACUCACACUUGGGGGUCACUGCCGUUCUGUCUGGCCUCCCCCCGUCUUUGUCCUCGGGAUUCCCUGUGCCCCCCAUAGCCGUCCACACGCACCUCUCGCAGGCAGAGUGCCAGCUCCAUCUUGCUCCCCGUCUCUCCAUCCCUGGUCUCUCCUGUGGUUUCGUCUGAGGUCCCCAGCUCUGACCCCCUCCUCUCGGGAAGUGCGCCCCCAGCCACCCCAGGCACCCUCAGCGGGCUCUCUCCUGUGGUUUCCUCUGAGGUCCCCAGCUCUGACCCCCUCCUCUCGGGAAGUGCGCCCCCGGCCACCCCAGGUACCCUCAGUGGGCUCUCUCCUGUGGUUUCGUCUGAGGUCCCCAGCUCUGACCCCCUCCUCUCGGGAAGUGCACCCCCGGCCACCCCAGGCACCCUCAGUGGGCUCUCUCCUGUGGUUUCCUCUGAGGUCCCCAGCUCUGACCCCCUCCUCUCAGGAAGUGCGCCCCUGGCCACCCCAGGCACCCUCAGUGGGCUCUCUCCUGUGGUUUCCUCUGAGGUCCCCAGCUCUGACCCCCUCCUCUCGGGAAGUGCACCCCCGGCCACCCCAGGCACCCUCAGCGGGCUCCUCCCAUGCACGUCCUGCAGAACCCUCCACAGCCCUCGGCGCUGAGUGCUUGACCGUGCUUUCUGGGUUUUUUUUCUACUUAAUUUUUUUUCAGAUCACUUAUUUUUAA